UUUGAUCCAAAUACUGCAUUAGCAAUGGUAAUCGCUCCAGGAUUCUGGCUGCUAAGUGCAGCGAUGGCAACUGCUGGCUUAUCAUAGCUUGGAUUGAACUGGAAGUGAAUGAGACCUUGUGGGAACACGAAGACAUCACCCUUGUUAAGUGUCUUGGUGAAUAGCUUGUUUUCUCCGUUUGCUUGGUUCGAUGUAACAAAACCAACAUAGAGUGUACCCUCAAAAACCGUUAGGAUCUCGGUAGCACGGGGAUGCGUGUGUGGUGGGUUUUGCCCUUUAGGAGCAUAGUCGAUCCUUGCCAUGGAGAUGCCAAGGGUGUUGAGACCUGUGAGUUUCAUCACGUUGAUCAAUGUAACAUUGGAUCCAGCCUUGCUCUUGGUUGUGUCCAUCGGCUUGUCGAGGUUAGCUUCUAGGAAGAAGUCAUCAACAUUCACAUCCUUAGCAUCCUUGCAGGGGAACCCAUUGACACGUACUGCAUUGAAGAACAUACAAAGGUCAGAUCAAAAGCUAGAAACAUAUAUAUGUACAACAUGAAUGUCUCGGAUCAUUGUUAAUCUGAUGUAACCGCAUGAUCAGUGAAGAAGUACACUACCUGGAGAGUUCCUGUCGGCAACGCAGAAGUCCUGAAGAGGACUGGGAUCAAAAGCCAUGGCCUGAGUAGCGACCAAAGCGAUGAGAGCUGUGGGAAGAAAGAAGUUGGAGGAGGCCAUGUUAAGUUGAUGGAACUUUUGCUUGUGUACAAGUAGUGGUCGAUGAUUCUUGUAUAGCUAUAGUUGAUGCUUUGCCCAUGGAAAUGAUGCAUCCAUAUAUAUAGGCCUCUGAGCAUGAGAUGAUUUUGAAGUGGUCAAUAACAAAAGGCUGAGCUAGCUUGUGACUGGUUCAUCUCCUCUAAAGUCUGAACUGAUCUUGAACUCUUAAUAGAUUGCAUCUGGGAAAGAAACUAUUUAAUUUGAUGGAUUCAAUCUAUCUUAAUUCCCAGUCAACAGCUAGGUUGGCCGACUAAUUAAUUAAUUAGAUUAUUCCAGUGCCUGUCAUGCAUGAUGCAUGCAUUAGAUUUAUUAUGUCUUGCCUGGCUCUGUUAUCAGGUGCAGAGAAACAUAUUAUGAUAAAGAUAGGGAGAUGAAUUUUAUCUCUCAAGAAGAUUUUAAAAAAAUGAUAAGACAAUUAAAUUAAAUUAAAAUAUAUCCCUUUACAAACAUACAAGUUUGAUACGACACCUAUAAGUUGUAAAAAAAUAACCGUGAAUGUACGUUAACUAUUACUAAGAACCGAGUAGAUUGACCAUGUCUUCUCUAUCCAUGUAAAAUAUACUUGGUCCCUUUCGUCUCUGCAUAUUCAGGCAUCCAUGUGUGUUACGGGAAUAUAACGUCUGAAUGUCUGAUUAAUUAGUCAAGAGCUAGCACACAUGCUAAUUAAAAGGGAAGUUGAUAAUGUCAGUAUUGCAGUUAAUUGCUGAAUAUAUCAACACGCUCUCUGUUGCCUACAGCUGCCGAGACAGUUUCAAGCUAAUAACUAAUGGUACUUUGGUUAAUUCAGUUGAAAGCUCAACAGAUCAAUUACAUCAUCAAUUACAUCGGCCGCCGGCUCUUCAUUCUCCUGGCCAGAUGCAUAUGGAUAGCUAGGAGAGGAGUUAAAACAAAUACUAGCUUCCAAUAUGGCUGUGUUUGGCAAAUAGGAUUGAGAAAUAAUAUCCCACCCUCCAAAAGGCAACAUUGCAUCUUAGCCAUCCAUUCUUCACACUUUAUUUAAUCCUAGCCAUUCAUCUAUUUCCAUUUCCCAAUCCGACCUCCCAUAUCCUAUUUGCUAAACAUACCCUAUAUGGAAAUAUUUAUCUUUUUAGCGCUUCUUAUAUUAUACUUCCUGUGUCUCCAGGAGUGUGUUUUGUAUAUAAAAAAAGGGAUUAUAAAAAAAAAGUACCACAAUUUUUUUAAGUAAAAAACUUUCAAAUAUAAUUGUAGUAUAGUUGUAAUUUAAUUCUACAAUAAUUAUACUAUAACUACAAUGUGACUUGUAAGGAUUAAAAAAUAUGCAACUUUAUAGCUAAGUUAUAUCAAGAUUAGAAUGUAAGCAUAUUGUAAGUACAAUGUAGUUACAAUGUAACUAUAGUGUAAUUAUAUUAUAGUUAUACUACAACUAUGCCAUAGUUAUAUUUGAAAGCUUUUACCAAAAAAAAAUUGCGACAGUUUUUUUUUAGCAAUUUCCAAAAUAUAGAUUUAGUGAAAACACUUCAAGCCGGGCGUUGGAUCUGGGAGAAAAAACCGGCUCCCCGCCAAUCAUUCCCAUCCACUCAUUCAAGUAUUUCUCUCUCCCUUGUCUCGCUCGCAUCUCUCUCCCUUAUCGCGCACUCGCUUACUCUACUAUCUCUCUCUCUCUCUCUCUCUGUGUGUGUGUGUGUCUCCCACCGAGGCUUUGAUGCAGCGAUGACGCGUCCCCAUAAGGGCAGCUAGCGCCGAUGGCAACGGGAGGAUCAACUACAACGACGACAACGAGGAGGAGAGCAACCCAUCGUGGCAAAGCAGCAGAUGGAGCAAGUGGUGGUCACGCCAUCGUAGCUGACAACAAGUCAAGGUCAUUUAUGGAAAGAAUCACCGGGUCAUCACAUUGCAGCGUUUGAGGUUGUCGAAGAAAGCCCGAUCCAACCAUUAGAGGGGAGGAGGAAGUCAUAUAUAGCCAAUACAUUUUUUUUAAUGUUUAAAAUUUCUAAUGUUUAAGCCAAUGUUUUUUUUAUGUUUCUUUUUGUUAGAUUGUAAUGUUGUACUAGGAAUUUUAAUGUUGUUUCAUAUUUUUGUCUUCAGUUCAUUGUAAUGUCGUUUCAUGUCCGAUCGAUUAGGUCACCAACUCCGUUGUUGGCCAAAUGAGAUUCAGGAUCAGAUGGUCUUUAAGGGGUUCUUUAGGACGUGCGUGGUAAUUGUAAAGUGUGAAAUUCCUACAUUCAAAGGAGUAAUAAACUCUUGAGUCUUGAGCAAAUCGUAGGUUUGAAAGUAAGACACUACAGGUUGAUUAUUGGAGUUAUUGAAUGGUUCACACCUAUAAACCGUUUACUAGUUAUUGAACAGUUCACAUCUAUAAACCGCCCACUAAGCUAGCCAAGCAAUAAAAAGUCAACCAAAAUUUCAUUUCUUACAUAAUUUGUUUAGAUUUUGUUGGUUUUUAAAGUAAUUAAUGGUCAUGUAUAAAGGAAUUUAGUUCGCAUGUACAAACAUUUUUGUUAUCUUUCUCAAGCAUGUAGGGAUAAUUGAGAAAGAAUAGAUUAAUUUGGAUGAGUGCUAUGAGCUUGUGAACAACAUAAGAAAUAUAAGUACUGAACUAGCUAGGGCAAUGCUUCCCCAGUAAUAUGAUUUUAAUUAUCCAUCUUUAUGAGUGUUAAAAAAGUACCCAAGAAAUCAACGAUAUUAAAUUAAUACCCCAGAUCAUACAUCAUGUGACAAAUAUAUAUGUGUACUGAUAUACAUUAUUCAUAAAAAGAAUCAUAUAAAAUAUCGAGUUUAGGAUUACAUGAAGUAUACAAUAUUUAGCUAAUAUAAUAAUCAACAAACUCUUUUUACUACCAAUCACUAGUUUUGAACCUUAUCAAGCAUCAAUAAUUUAGUUAUGGUUGUUCUCCCAGAACUGAGCUUGGAGCCAAUCCACAGCUUUCUUGUCCACCUGAAAUGCCUUAGCAAGAACGUCAUCCGAGAUUGGUGAAUUUGAUCCAAAUACUGCAUUAGCAAUGGUAAUCGCUCCAGGGUUCUGGCUGCUAAGUGCAGCGAUGGCAACUGCUGGCUUAUCAUAGCUUGGAUUGAACUGGAAGUGAAUGAGACCUUGUGGGAACACGAAGACAUCACCCUUGUUAAGUGUCUUGGUGAAGAGCUUGUUUUCUCCGUUUGCUUGGUUCGAUGUAACAAAACCAACAUAGAGUGUACCCUCAAGAACAGUUAGGAUCUCGGUAGCACGGGGAUGCGUGUGUGGUGGGUUUUGCCCUUUAGGAGCAUAGUCGAUCCUUGCCAUGGAGAUGCCAAGGGUGUUGAGACCUGCGAGUUUCAUCACAUUGAUCAAUGUAACAUUGGAUCCAGCCUUGCUCUUGGUUGUGUCCAUCGGCUUGUCGAGGUUAGCUGCUAGGAAGAAGUCAUCAACAUUCACAUCUUUAGCAUCCUUGCAAGGGAACCCAUUGACAUGUACUACAUUGAAGAACAUACAAAGGUCAGAUCGAAAGCUAGAAACAUAUAUAUGUACAACAUGAAUAUCUCAUAUCAUUGUUAAUCUGAUGUAACUGCAUGAUCAGUGAAGAAGUACACUACCUGGAGAGUUCCUGUCGGCAACGCAGAAGUCCUGAAGAGGACUGGGAUCAGAAGCCAUGGCCUGAGUAGCGACCAAAGCGAUGAGAGCUGUGAGAAGAAAGAAGUUCGAGGAGGCCAUGUUAAGUUGAUGGAACUUUUGCUUGUGUACAAGUAGUGGUCGAUGCUUCUUGUAUAGCUGUAGUCUAUGCUUUUGUCCAUGGAAGCAUCCAUAUAUAUAGGCCUCUGAGCAUGAAAUGAUUCUGAAGUGGUCAAUAAGAAAAGGAUGAGCUAGCUAGUGACUUGUUCAUCUCCUCAGAAGUCUGAACUGGUCUUGAACUCUUAAUGAUUGCAUCUGGGAAAGAAACUAUUUAAUUUGAUGGAUUCAAGCUAUCUUAAUUCCCAGUCAACAGCUAGGUUGGCCGACUAAUUAAUUAAUUAGAUUAUUCCAGUGCCUGUCAUGCAUGAUGCAUGCAUUAGAUUGAUGAUGUCUUGGCUGUCUUUGUUAUCAGGUGAAUAGAAACACAGAGCACUUUACUACCAUUUUCAACCUUACCAAGUUUUAGCAUUGCUAAAUUUUGGUAUGUUUGCUAAAAUUUUAACAAGGUUGCUAAAUUUUGGCAAGAUUUUAUAUGUGCUUACUAAAAAUUUAGCAACAAACUAAACGUAGUUAAAAUUUUAGCAACUUUAUCAGAAAAUGGCAUCAAAGUGAACAGGCUCAUAUUAUGAUAAAGAUAGGGAGAUGGAUUUUUAUCUCUCAAGAAGAUUUAAAAAAAUGAUAAGAUAAUUAAAUUAAAUUAAAAUAUAUCUCUUUACAAAUAUACAAUACAAGUUUAAUAUGACAUUCAAGUUGUAACAAAAAUAACCGUGAAUGUACGUUAACGAGUAGAUUGACCAUGUCUUCUCUAUCCAUGUAAAGUAUACUUGGUCCCUUUCGUCUCCGCAUAUUCAGGCAUCCAUGUGUGUUAUGGCAAUAUAACGUCUGAAUGUCUGAUUAAUUAGUCAAGAGCUAGCACCCAUGCUAAUUAAAAGGGAAGUUGAUAAUGUCAGUAUUGCAGUUAAUUGCUGAAUAUAUCAACACGCUCUCUGUUGCCUGCAGCUGCCGAGACAGUUUCAAGCUAAUAACUAUUGGUAGUUUGGUUAAUUCAGUUCAAAGCUCACCAGAUCAAUUACAUCAUCAAUUACAUCGGCCGGCGGCUCUUCAUUCCCCUGGCCAGCUGCAUAUGGAUAGCUAGGAGAGGAGUUAAAACAAAUACUAGCUUCCAAUAUAUAGAAAUAUUUAUCUUUUUAGCGCUUGUUAUAUUAUCCUUCCUCUAUCUUCAGGAGUGUGUUUUGCAUAAAAAAGGGAUUAUCUAAAAAAAGGUACCACAAUUUUUUAAAGUGAAAAACUCUCAAAUAUAACUGCAGUAUAGUUGUACUAUAAUUCUACAAUAAUUAUACUAUAACUACAAUGUAACUUGUAAAGAUUAAAAAAAUAUGCAACUUUACAGCUAAGUUAUAUAGAGAUUAGAAUGUAGGUAUAUUGUAAUUACAAUGUAGUUACAAUGUAAGUAUAGUGUAAUUAUAUUAUAGUUACUACAACUAUACCAUAGUUAUAUUUGAAAGCAUUUACCAAAAUGAAAUUGUGAUUAGUUUUUUUAGCAAUUUCCCAAAAAAGUAUAAAAAAGUAUAGUUCUAGUGAAAACGCUCCAAGCUGGGCACUGGAUCUAGGAGAAAAAAACCGGCUUCCUGCCAAUCAUUCCCAUCCACUCAUUCAAUCAUUUCUCUCUCCCUUGUCUCACUCACAUCUCUCCCCCUUAUCGCGCACUUGAUUACUCUACUCUCUCUCUCUCUGUGUGUCUGUCUCUAUCUCCCACCAAGGCUUUGAUGUGGCGAUGAUGACAUGUCACCAUAAGGGUAGCCGAUGCCGAUGGCAACGGGAGGACAACUACAACGACGACAGCGAGGAGGAGGGAAACCUAUCGUAGAGAAGCAGCGGACGGAGCAAGUGGUGGUCAUGCCAUCGCAGUUGACAACAAGGAAGUCAAGGUCAUUUAUAGAAAGAAUCACCGGGUCAUCACAUUGCAGCGUUUGAGGUUGUCGAAGAAAGCCCGAUCCAACCAUUGGAGGGGAGGAGGAAGUCAGAUAUAGCCGAUACAGUUUUUUUAAUGUUUAAAAUUUCUAAUGUUUAAGCCAAUGUUUUUCAUGUUUCUUUUUGUUAGAUUGUAAUGUUGUACUAGGCAUUUUAAUGUUGUUUCAUAUUUUUGUCUUCAGUUCAUUGUAAUGUUGUUUCAUGUACGAUCGAUUAGGUCACCAACUCCAUUGUUGGCCAAAUGAGAUUUAGGAUCAGAUGGCCUUCAAGGGGUUCUUUAGAACGUGCGUGGUAAUUGUGAAGUAUACUCGUAAGAAUUGAACGAUUUUUUUGUGAAAAUCUUAUGAAAUUACUACAUUCAAAAGAGUAAUAAACUCUUGAGUCUCGAGUGGUGUGUAUCGUCACCUCUACUGAAUCGUAGAUUUGAAAGUAAGACACUACAUGUUGAUUAUUAGAGUUAUUGAACGGUUCACACCUAUAAACCAUUCACUAGUUAUUAAACAAUUCACACCUAUAAACCGCUCACUAAACUAGCGAAGUAAUAAAAAAUCAAACAAAAUUUCAUUUCUUACAUAAUUUGUUUAUAUUAUAUUGGUUUUUAAAGUAAUUAAUGCAUGGUUAUAUAUAAAGGAAUUUAGUUCGCAUGUACAAACAUUUUUUUUAUGUUUCUCAAGCAUGAUAACUACAAGAAUUGAAAAAGAAGAGACUAAUUUGGAUGCUUGUUACGAUCUUGUGAGCAACACAACAAAUAUAAGUACUGAACGAGGGCAAUACAUCCCUAGUAAUAUGAUUUUAAUUAUGUAUCAUUCAGUGUUAAAAAGGUACCAAGAAAUCAAAUAUAUUAAAUUAAUAUCCCAGAUCAUACAUCACGUAACAUAUGUAUAUGUGCGUAGUGGUAUACAUUAUUUCGUAAAAAGAAUCAAAUAACAUAUUUUUAGGAUAACAUGAAGUAUACAAUUUUUAGCUACUAACAAUCAACAAACCAUUUUACUACAGAUAACUAAUUUUCAACAGAUAAGCAUCAAUAAUUUAAUUUAGUUAUGGUUAUUCUCCCAAAAUUGAGCUUGUAGCCAAUCCACUGCCUUUUUGUCCACUUGAAAUGCCUUAGCAAGAACAUCAUCCGAGAUUGGUGGAUUUGAUCCAAAUACUGCAUUAGCAAUGGUAAUCGCCCCAGGGUUUUGGCUACUAAGUGCAACGAUAGCAGCUGCCGGCUUAUCAUAACUUGGAUUGAACUGGAAGUGAAUGAGACCCUCUGGGAACACAAAGACAUCUCCUUUGUUGAGUGUCUUGGUGAAGAGCUUGUUUUCUCCGUUUGCUUGGUUAGAUGUAACAAAUCCAACAUAAAGUGAGCCCUCAAUUACACUUAGGAUCUCAGUGGCACGAGGGUGUGUGUGGGGUGGGUUUUGUCCUUUAGGAGCAUAGUCGAUCCUCGCCAUGGAGAUACCAAGGGUGUUGAGACCUGCAAGUUUCAUCACAUUGAUUAAGGUAACGUUGGAUCCAGCCUUGCUCUUGGUUAUGUCCAUCGGCUUGUCGAGGUUAGCUGCUAGGAAGAAGUCAUCGACACUCACAUCCUUAGCAUCCUUGCAAGGGAACCCAUUGACACGCACUGCAUAUUGAAAAACAUAUAUGGGUCAGAAACCUAGAAACUUAUAUAUACACAUUACGGAUGUUUGAGAUAAUCAUCAAUUUGAUGCAAUUGGAUGAUCGAUGACGAAAAACUAUACCUGGUGAGUUCUUGUCGGCAACACAGAGGUCCUGAAGAGGACUAGGAUCAGAAGCCAUGGCCUGAGUAGUGACCAAAGCGAUGAGAGGUAUGAGAAGAAAAAAGUUGGAGGAGGCCAUGUUUAAGUUGAUGGAACUGUUGCUUCUGCAGAAGUAUUACUCGAUGCUAGCUUGUUGUGUAUAUGGAGCUACAGCUAGCUGAUGGUUUUUGGCCAGGAAAGGAUGCAUCCAUAUAUAUAGGCCUCUGAGAAUGAGGUGAUUCUGAAGUGGUCAAUAAGAAAAAUAAAAAAAGGCUGAACUAACGACUUGUUCAUCUGCUCUAAAGUCUGAACCGGUCUUGAUAGAUUUGCAUCUGGGCAAGAACUUAUUUAAUUUGAUGGAUUAGUGGAUGGAUUCAAGUUGUCUUCCCAGCAACACGGUGACCGAUUAGUUAAUCAAUUAGAUUAUUUUAGUGCCUGUCAUGCAUGCAUUAGAUUGAUGAUGAAGCCUGGCUGUGUUAUACAGUAUCAGGUGCAGAUAAACAUAUGACCAUGUCUUCUCUCUAUGUAACGUACGUAUACUUGGCCUCUUUACUCCUUUAGUAACUUUGUUCCAUAUGGCCCUUUUAAUUUGUCAAUGAUCUCCGCGUAUUAAGCAUGCAUGUGUGUUACAUCAAUAUAAUAAGGUCUGAUUUUUCAAGAGCUAGCACACAUGCAUGCUAAUUAAAAAGGAUAUCGGUAAUUGCUGAAUCGAUCAACAUGCUCCCCGUUGCCCUGAGACAGUUUCAACUAAUUUGUAGUUUUGAUUAUUUCAGUUCAAAGCUCUAUCACCGGCUGAUCGAUCGAUCGAUCACAUCGGCCGGCGGCUCGUCAUUCUCCUGGUCGAUCAGCUGGAUACCCAAACAGGGUUAGAUAAAGAAAUAGUUCCAAUAAUGGAAAUAUUUGUCCUUUUCGCGCGCACUAUAUUAUAAUUCAUCCGUUCUAAAAACAUUAUAGUAGUAGUUUUAACUGGUAAAAAGAGAUUAGUAAAACUAUUAUGCCCUUUCUUUCUGUUAAUUAGCCCGAUCGAACUCGAUCUCUUCCUUCCUCUUCAGCAUGUGCUGGAGCAGAGUUGUUAACUUGAUAUAUACUAGAAAAAUUGCUCGUGCGUUGUAACGGGUAAAGUUUAUUUUAAUCUUAUUACUAUUAUAUGAUUUAGUUAAGAUGAAAUUCACUGUAGCAGUUCGCUUGGAUAUAUAUAUAUAUAUAUAUAUAUAUAUAUAUAGAAAAUCAUGAGCUGCAGUUAGACGUCCGAUCGUCUCAAGUUAGUAUGCGAGUUUUUUUUAAACAGAUUUCUUAUAUGGUUUCUUCUGUAUUUCUAAAAGUGAACGAUCUUAAAAACCAAUUCAAAUACGAAUAUUUAUUUUCAAAAGCAAACGAACUUAAAAACCAACUCAUACACGGAUGAUAUAACAAAAUACCGGCAAAAACAUAUUCAAUUUUUAUAAUAAUAGAGAUAUGAUGGAUAUAUGACCAAUUGAAUUACGUGUAGUAUAUGUACUUUUAUCAAAAUUGCUUAUUAUUGUACUCUUUCAUACGAGCAGAAACCAAAUCUUCUAAUUUUUUUUACUACAACUUAAUUAGUGUCAGAGGCAUGAGUUUAAGCAAUGCCAGCGACGAGAACGGGCGAUGGUGAAUUGUUAGAUUUUUCUUUUUUUCUGUAUUUGGAAAUUUUAAUUAUGAUUUGUCAGACAUGAUGAUACGUGAAACACAAUUGUUUCCUGAUUCAUUAUAAUAUGUUUAUCAUACUUUUAGAUUUGCUAGUUAUAAAAAAAUCAAACAAAAAUUCAUUUGUAGAUAAUUUGUUUGAAUUUAUUUUGUUGGUUUUGUCAGUAACUAACGGUUAUAUAUAAAUGAAUUUGGUUCACAUCUAAAAACAAAUUUUAUAUGUUUUUGAAGCGUUCAAAUUUUCAUGAUAAUCACAAGAAUUGAAAAAGAAUAGAUUAAUUUGGAUGAGUACUAUGAUCAUGUGAGCUACAUAACAAAUAUAAGUAUUGAACGAGGGAAAUGCAUCCCUACUAUAAUAUGAUUUUAAUUAUCCAUCUUUAUGAGUGUUAAAAAAUACCCAAGAAAUCAACUAUAUUAAAUUAAUACCCCAGACCAUACAUAAUGUAACAUAUAUAUGUGCGUACUGUUAUACAUUAUUCGUAAAAAGAAUUGUAUAAAUAUCGAGUUUAGGAUUACAUGAAGUAUAUAGCCUUUGGCUAAUAUAAUAAUCAACAAAUCCUUUUUAUACCAAUCACUAAUUCUGAACCUUAUCAAGCAUCAAUAAUUUAGUUAUGGUUGUUCUCCCAGAACUGAGCUUGGAGCCAAUCCAUGGCUUUUUUGUCCACUUGAAAUGCCUUAGCAAGAACAUCAUCUGAAAUUGGUGGAUGUGAUCCAAAUACUGCAUUAGCAAUGGUAAUUGCCCCAGGAUUUUGGCUGCUAAGUGCAGCAAUGGCAACUGCAGGCUUAUCAUAGCUUGGAUUAAACUGAAAGUGAAUAAGACCCUGUGGGAACACGAAGACAUCACCCUUGUUAAGUGUUUUGGUGAAGAGCUUGUUUUCUCUGUUUGCUUGGUUAGAUGUAACAAAACCAACAUAGAGUGAGCCCUCAAGAACGGUUAGGAUCUCAGUAGCACGAGGGUGCGUGUGUGGUGGGUUUUGUCCUUUGGGAGCAUAGUCGAUCCUUGCCAUGGAGAUGCUAAGGGUGUUGAGACCUGCGAGUUUCAUCACGUUGAUCAAUGUAACAUUGGAUCCAGCCUUGCUCUUGGUUGUGUCCAUCGGCUUGUCAAGGUUAGCUGCUAGGAAGAAGUCAUCAACACUCACAUCCUUUGCAUCCUUGCAGGGUAACCCAUUGACACGUACUGCAUUGAAGAACAUACAAUGGUCAGAUCGGAAGCUAGAAACAUGUAUAUGUACAACAUGAAUGUGUAAUCAAUUUGAUGCAAUUGCAUGAUCAGUGAUAAAAUAAUAUAUCUGGCGAGUGCUUGUCGGCAACACAAAAGUCCUGAAGAGGACUAGGAUCAGAAGCCAUGGCCUGAGUAGCGACCAAAGCAAUGAAAGCUGUGAGAAGAAAGAAGUUGGAGGCGGCCAUGUUUAAGUUGAUGGAACUUUUGCUCUUG
Molecule: long non-coding RNA, 11166 nt
Filed under: Oryza sativa (Asian cultivated rice)
Lineage: Eukaryota; Viridiplantae; Streptophyta; Magnoliopsida; Poales; Poaceae
Description: long non-coding RNA (OSAT_LNC000090)
Source: RNAcentral